This 840-nucleotide ribosomal RNA is filed under the name uncultured Rhabdolaimus. RNAcentral describes it as "SSU rRNA". It matches the Rfam family "Eukaryotic small subunit ribosomal RNA", at positions 552 to 1423 of the family's 1831-position model. The record is from RNAcentral. Lineage: Eukaryota; Metazoa; Nematoda; Enoplea; Enoplida; Rhabdolaimidae.
AGAUAACGCCUAAGAGCAGCAGCGGCGGUAAUUCCAGCUCCAAUAGCAUAUAUUAAAGUUGUUGCGGUUAAAACGCCCGUAGUUGGAUCAGCGGAUUUGGAGAACGGUCUGCCGAUGGGCUGUACUGUUCUCCUGUCCUAUUUUCUCUAGUUCGCUCUAGGUGCUCUUCACUGAGUGUCUAGAGUGGCUGGAACUUUUACUUUGAAAAAAUUAGAGUGCUCAAAGCAGGCGUCUCAGCCUGAAUAGUGGUGCAUGGAAUAAUGGAAUAGGACCUCAGUUCUAUUUUGUUGGUUUUCGGAACAUGAGGUAAUGAUUAAGAGGGACAGACGGGGGCAUUCGUAUUGCGACGUUAGAGGUGAAAUUCUUGGAUCGUCGCAAGAGAACUACUGCGAAACAUNUUGCCAAGAAUGUUUUCAUAAAUCAAGGACGAUAGUUAGAGGUUCGAAGGCGAUCAGAUACCGCCCUAGUUCUAACCGUAAACGAUGUCAACCAGCGAUCCGCAGAGGUUAUUCAUUACUCUGCGGGCAGCUUCCGGGAAACCAAAGUUUUUGGAUUCUGGGGGGAGUAUGGUUGCAAAGCUGAAACUUAAAGGAAUUGACGGAAGGGCACCACCAGGAGUGGAGCCUGCGGCUUAAUUUGACUCAACGCGGGGAAACUCACCCGGCCCGGACACCGUAAGAAUUGACAGAUUGAGAGCUCUUUCUUGAUUCGGUGGGUGGGGGUGAUGGCCGUUCUCAGUUGGUGGAGCGAUUUGUCUGGUUAAUUCCGAUAACGAACGAGACUCUAGCCUACUAAAUAGAAGGCAAAUUAUUCGUUUGCUGUACUUCUUAGAGGGACUAG